This 439-nucleotide ribosomal RNA is filed under the name uncultured bacterium. RNAcentral's name for it is "partial 16S ribosomal RNA". It matches the Rfam family "Bacterial small subunit ribosomal RNA", at positions 339 to 795 of the family's 1533-position model. The record is from RNAcentral.
CUACGGGGUGCACCAGUGAGGAAUAUUGCACAAUGGGGGGAACCCUGAUGCAGCAACGCCGCGUGGAGGAUGACGCAUUUCGGUGUGUAAACUCCUUUUAUAUGUCAAGAAAAUGACGGUAGCAUAUGAAUAAGCACCGGCUAACUCCGUGCCAGCAGCCGCGGUAAUACGGAGGGUGCAAGCGUUACGCGGAAUCACUGGGCGUAAAGGACGCGUAGGCGGGUUGGAAAGUCAGGUGUGAAAUCCUACAGCUUAACUGUAGAACUGCACUUGAAACUUCUAAUCUAGAGUAUGGGAGGGGGAGAUGGAAUUAGUGGUGUAGGGGUAAAAUCCGUAGAUAUCACUAGGAAUACCUAAAGCGAAGGCGAUCUCCUGGAACAUUACUGACGCUAAGGCGUGAAAGCAUGGGGAGCAAACAGGAUUAGAUACCCGAGUAGUC